This 429-nucleotide ribosomal RNA is filed under the name uncultured bacterium. RNAcentral's name for it is "bacterial SSU rRNA". It matches the Rfam family "Bacterial small subunit ribosomal RNA", at positions 355 to 776 of the family's 1533-position model. The record is from RNAcentral.
UGGGGAAUAUUGCACAAUGGGCGAAAGCCUGAUGCAGCGACGCCGCGUGGAGGAUGACGGUCUUCGGAUUGUAAACUCCUGUUAAGUGGGAAGAAAGACUAGCAUCUAAUACAUGCUGGGGAUGACGGUACCACUAGAGAAAGCACCGGCAAACUUCGUGCCAGCAGCCGCGGUAAUACGAAGGGUGCAAGCGUUAUUCGGAAUGACUGGGCGUAAAGAGCGUGAAGGCGGUUUUCUAAGUCAUUUGUUAAAGCGCUCGGCUUAACCGAGCAUAUGCGAGUGAAACUGGAAGGCUUGAGUACAGGAGAGAAAGGUAGAAUUCUCGGAGUAGCGGUAAAAUGCGUAGAUCUCGAGAGGAAUACCGGUUGCGAAGGCGGCCUUUUGGCCUGUUACUGACGCUUAAGCGCGAAAGCGUGGGGAGCAAACAGG